UGAAGAAGUUGUUAUAAUUUGGAGCUGC
This 28-nucleotide non-coding RNA is filed under the name Rattus norvegicus (Norway rat). Lineage: Eukaryota; Metazoa; Chordata; Mammalia; Rodentia; Muridae. The record is from RNAcentral.